UAUCUCUCCGUACGGAGAAGGAUGAGAAGCUUCGACUAAGGUUCGAUUCGAGCGCAGCGAGAAAGCGUUGCCGCAGGCAACGACCCGAAGGGUGAGGAGCGGAGCGACGAAUAAUCCUUCCCCCACCACCA
Molecule: small RNA, 131 nt
Filed under: Salmonella enterica
Lineage: Bacteria; Pseudomonadati; Pseudomonadota; Gammaproteobacteria; Enterobacterales; Enterobacteriaceae
Also listed under: 5 other names
Description: RtT sRNA
Rfam family: RtT RNA
About the family: This family represents a bacterial cis-regulatory element known as RtT RNA. The exact function of RtT is unknown although it is thought that it may be involved in changing the cellular response in relation to amino acid starvation.
Source: RNAcentral